AACAACCUACACCAUACGACCAAAAUAUAAUAACUAAAUUAAGUAUUGAUUAUAACUAAUUAAAACACAAUUUCUUGUAAUCAAUUUACAGAUUGAAUUCCACCUUGAAAUGAAAAUAAGCCAUGGAAUGAUCGAUCUAAUUAGGUAUAUAGCAAAUUGCUGGACGUCCUUCACAAUAUGUAAUGGAUCAUGUAUUUUAUCAAUUCAGCAUCAUAAGCAUUAAUUUUCCUUGUCAGCUUUUAGUAUGAUAUUAUUUUUUUUU
RNAcentral lists this long non-coding RNA (262 nucleotides) under Elaeis guineensis (African oil palm). RNAcentral's name for it is "long non-coding RNA (EGUI_LNC036626)". The record is from RNAcentral. Lineage: Eukaryota; Viridiplantae; Streptophyta; Magnoliopsida; Arecales; Arecaceae.